RNAcentral lists this ribosomal RNA (465 nucleotides) under Vreelandella stevensii. RNAcentral describes it as "partial 16S ribosomal RNA". It matches the Rfam family "Bacterial small subunit ribosomal RNA", at positions 338 to 795 of the family's 1533-position model. The record is from RNAcentral. Lineage: Bacteria; Pseudomonadati; Pseudomonadota; Gammaproteobacteria; Oceanospirillales; Halomonadaceae.
CCUACGGGAGGCAGCAGUGGGGAAUAUUGGACAAUGGGGGCAACCCUGAUCCAGCCAUGCCGCGUGUGUGAAGAAGGCCCUCGGGUUGUAAAGCACUUUCAGUGAGGAAGAACGCCUGGUGGUUAAUACCCAUCAGGAAAGACAUCACUCACAGAAGAAGCACCGGCUAACUCCGUGCCAGCAGCCGCGGUAAUACGGAGGGUGCGAGCGUUAAUCGGAAUUACUGGGCGUAAAGCGCGCGUAGGUGGCUUGAUAAGCCGGUUGUGAAAGCCCCGGGCUCAACCUGGGAACGGCAUCCGGAACUGUCAAGCUAGAGUGCAGGAGAGGAAGGUAGAAUUCCCGGUAUAGCGGUGAAAUGCGUAGAGAUCGGGAGGAAUACCAGUGGCGAAGGCGGCCUUCUGGACUGACACUGACACUGAGGUGCGAAAGCGUGGGUAGCAAACAGGAUUAGAUACCCGAGUAGUC